GAGGUACUAUUCAUUUGUCCCUUGCCUAUUUAGAUGACCAGUUCCGGUUAAUGUUUUAUUUAACAACUGAAGUCUUUCGAUUAAAUUCAGGAGUAUAUACAGAGCACACACUUAGUGAAAGAUCUUGCUUGUUUAUUUUCUGAGAUCUGGAAACUGGUUAAUGGUCAUGAUCAGGACAAUGUACAGAUGUGUUUCAGUGAUGCGCUGGAGCAUGUUUAUGAUGAAAAUCGGUAUCCAUUACGCAAACGUAAUUUGAACAACGAGUUGAGGUACACUGGUGGUUUGAACCUGCAGGAACUAGUAGUUUUUUUUUCUUUUCCUUUCUUACACUUCCGCUUUGUGUUUUCAUUGGACAAUUAGUAUACCUCUUACGUUGCAAACUGCUUCAAUCAUCUUUCCUUGUAGUUUCGGCAGUGCACGCAGGGUAUCAGUAAGGAAGUUCCGGAUUCGAUAGCUCUUGAGUUAAUUUCCUGGGAAGUUAGGUUCAAGUGUGACCUGCCAAAGACAUAUGUGCAGUAUGCCAGAAAGAAGCUCAAGAUUGCAGAAACCAUAGGAUUGAUUCCCAAGGCCAAGAUAUUCGCGUAGUUGUUUGUUGCUUGUUG
This is a long non-coding RNA of Triticum dicoccoides, 602 nucleotides long. RefSeq lists it as uncharacterized. Lineage: Eukaryota; Viridiplantae; Streptophyta; Magnoliopsida; Poales; Poaceae. The record is from RefSeq and is a predicted model, not a curated record. The transcript is spliced from 4 exons.